AGGGAGUUUGAUCCUGGCUCAGGAUUAGAUACCCUGGUAGUCCAGAAUUCGGCUUAGAGUUUGAUCCUGGCUCAGGAUGAACGCUAGCUACAGGCUUAACACAUGCAAGUCGAGGGGCAUCAUGGAGUUUGCUUGCAAACUCUGAUGGCGACCGGCGCACGGGUGAGUAACGCGUAUCCAACCUUCCCUAUAGUAGAGGAUAGCCCGGCGAAAGUCGGAUUAAUACUCUAUGUUUUCCGUUGCAGACAUCUAAGAUGGAACAAAGGCUUGCCGCUAUAGGAUGGGGAUGCGUCUGAUUAGGUAGUCGGCGGGGUAACGGCCCACCGAGCCAUCGAUCAGUAGGGGUUCUGAGAGGAAGGUCCCCCACAUUGGAACUGAGACACGGUCCAAACUCCUACGGGAGGCAGCAGUGAGGAAUAUUGGUCAAUGGGCGAGAGCCUGAACCAGCCAAGUAGCGUGCAGGACGACGGCCCUAUGGGUUGUAAACUGCUUUUAUGCGGGGAUAAAGUUCACUACGUGUAGUGUUUUGUAGGUACCGCAUGAAUAAGGACCGGCUAAUUCCGUGCCAGCAGCCGCGGUAAUACGGAAGGUCCGGGCGUUAUCCGGAUUUAUUGGGUUUAAAGGGAGCGCAGGCCGGAGGUCAAGCGUGACGUGAAAUGUAGCCGCUCAACGACUGAACUGCGUCGCGAACUGGCUUUCUUGAGUGAGUUCGAUGUGGGCCU
RNAcentral lists this ribosomal RNA (722 nucleotides) under uncultured Bacteroidota bacterium. RNAcentral describes it as "bacterial SSU rRNA". It matches the Rfam family "Bacterial small subunit ribosomal RNA", at positions 1 to 664 of the family's 1533-position model. The record is from RNAcentral. Lineage: Bacteria; Pseudomonadati; Bacteroidota.